This 315-nucleotide ribosomal RNA is filed under the name uncultured eukaryote. RNAcentral's name for it is "partial 18S ribosomal RNA". It matches the Rfam family "Eukaryotic small subunit ribosomal RNA", at positions 1470 to 1796 of the family's 1831-position model. The record is from RNAcentral.
CCCUUAGACGUUCUGGGCCGCACGCGCGCUACACUGACCAGUGCAACAAGCAUCCGUCCUUGGCCGACAGGCCCGGGCAAUCUUUGAACGCUGGUCGUGAUGGGGAUAGACUUUUGCAAUUUUUGGUCUUCAACGAGGAAUUCCUAGUAAACGCAAGUCAUCAACUUGCAUUGAUUACGUCCCUGCCCUUUGUACACACCGCCCGUCGCACCUACUGAUUGAAUGGUCCGGUGAAGCCUCCGGAUUGGCGCGCACCUCGGUGCCGCCGAGAAGUUGGCUAAACCUUACCAUUUAGAGGAAGGUGAAGUCGUAACA